CCCUGAGCCCGUGGCCCCCCCAGAUCCGCAUCGACAAGCUGGUGGACAAAUGGUCGGGCUCCAUCGAGAUCGGGGUCACGGCGCACAACCCCAACAGCCUGGAGUACCCGGCCACCAUGACCAACCUGCGCUCGGGGACGAUCAUGAUGAGCGGCUGCGGGAUCCUGACCAACGGCAAAGGGACGCGCCGGGAGUACUGCGAGUUCAGCCUGGACGAGCUGCAGGAGGGGGAUCACAUCGGGCUGACCCGGAAGGCCAACAACGCCCUGCACUUCUACAUCAACGGCGUGGACCAAGGUGGGGCCCCAAAA
This is a long non-coding RNA of Pyrgilauda ruficollis (rufous-necked snowfinch), 311 nucleotides long. RefSeq lists it as uncharacterized. Lineage: Eukaryota; Metazoa; Chordata; Aves; Passeriformes; Passeridae. The record is from RefSeq and is a predicted model, not a curated record. The transcript is spliced from 3 exons.